GACGUAGGGCGCAAGCGUUGUCCGGAUUUAUUGGGCGUAAAGAGCUCGUAGGUGGUUCGGUAAGUCGGGUGUUAAACCCCCAGGCUCAACCUGGGGACGCCACUCGAUACUGCUGUGACUUGAGUCCGGUAGGGGAGCGUGGAAUUCCUGGUGUAGCGGUGAAAUGCGCAGAUAUCAGGAGGAACACCAGCGGCGAAGGCGGCGCUCUGGGCCGGUACUGACACUGAGGAGCGAAAGCGUGGGUAGCAAACAGG
Molecule: ribosomal RNA, 254 nt
Filed under: uncultured bacterium
Lineage: Bacteria
Description: partial 16S ribosomal RNA
Rfam family: Bacterial small subunit ribosomal RNA
Source: RNAcentral